Non-coding RNA from Peromyscus maniculatus bairdii (prairie deer mouse), 1341 nucleotides. The record is from RefSeq and is a predicted model, not a curated record. NCBI's taxonomy places the organism in Eukaryota, Metazoa, Chordata, Mammalia, Rodentia, Cricetidae.
CUCAUCAGAGCCAGACUGUAAGACCACAGUGAACCUUGCCUUACCUCAGUCAGUCCCGACCAGGCCCAUGAGAAAGUCAACAACUGGAACCGAGGAAUUCAUACAGGAGUUAGAUUUUUCACCACAGCGACGUGGUGAUGUCUACCUGCUGAGUUCUAUGGCCUGAAUGAUAUGUCCACCAUGGAGUCAUUUAUGUUAAGGUCUGUUACGAGUUCCACCUCCAGCUUUCCAUUGCCUCCCAAGAACGCCAUCAGACUGUGAAUCCAUCAAUGGGGUAACCCAUUGAUAUCAGAGUCCUCAUGAUCAAGUCACUCCCUCAAAAUCCCAUCUCUGAACACAACAUUGGGAACUCAACACAUGAGCAUUUAGGAGAAACACUUUAUACCCAAAUCAUAACAGCUAGUAAAUGCCCACAGUAAACAUCCACUCUUCAUAUGAAGCCUGAGAUGGGUUUUUAUUAUUCAACUCUUUUUGACAAGUUAAGAGAAGCCAAGUCAUUUGCUGAAAGUCAGGAAACUAUAAAGGUAGAGGGAGGUGCAGUGCCUGUGUGUUCCACUGGAAAUCACUGGGAAUCCACUGGACAUCUUGGUGGCCUGGUGCCUCUACAAGCUCUGUUCUGUUUGCCUGAGGAAAAGGUUCUGAUGGAAUCUUGCUUUAUAUUUGGGUCUGUGCCCCCGUGGCACUGUUAAGUAGAUUCCAAUGGAUGUGGGGGAAGGAGGCUAGAUCAGAACCUAGGAGCCUGGGUCGAGUCCGGACAAAGGCUGCAUCCCUGGCCUUCACAGUGUUUCUGGUAGCAGCUGUGUCCUUCCCUUCCCGGUUCUCUGGGCUCUUGUCGUUACUAGCGCAAGGCUGGCCGGCACUGAGACCAAAACCACCACCAUGAUGGCAAAAACUCAGCAGCUGCCCCCGGUCGUGGUGCGUCCCUGCAGUUGACAUGAGCCUCGGUCUCACCCUGCGGACGAGGGAACCGAAACUGUGAGUCACUUGUCCAACCUCAUCACGGUGUGAUGGAUCCAAGACUCUACAGCCGCCCUGUCCCUCGAGAACCUGGGCUGCUGCAGGGUCAGGCCACAGUGCCGUUUGGGUAGGGACACAGGCGCGGGUGCCUCGUCACAAUGAGUCCGUAGCUUGCCUAGACGCUAUGUUAUAGCACUACUCCACAGAGACUCCACAGGGACCGACCGCUGAGUGAACCGACCGCUCCGGCCAGCCCCGGCAGGCUCUGCGGUCGAUCCCCGAGCACCUGAAAGCCACUUCCGUUUAGUCUCCCUGGUUGCGUUCAUCCAGGGUCCCGGGCUGAGAAAGGCUGUGCACAACACAAGGCUGUUGUUUACUCGGCUU